AUAUGGAAGAACACCAGUGGCGAAGGCGGCUGUCUGGUCUGCAACUGACGCUGAGGCUCGAAAGCAUGGGUAGCGAACAGGAUUAGAUACCCUGGUAGUCCAUGCCGUAAACGAUGAGUGCUAGGUGUUGGGGGGUUUCCGCCCUUCAGUGCCGGAGCUAACGCAUUAAGCACUCCGCCUGGGGAGUACGACCGCAAGGUUGAAACUCAAAGGAAUUGACGGGGGCCCGCACAAGCGGUGGAGCAUGUGGUUUAAUUCGAAGCUACGCGAAGGAACCUUACCAGGUCUUGACAUCUUGCGCUAACCUUAGAGAUAAGGCGUUCCCUUCGGGGACGCAAUGACAGGUGGUGCAUGGUCGUCGUCAGCUCGUGUCGUGAGAUGUUGGGUUAAGUCCCGCAACGAGCGCAACCCUUGUUACUAGUUGCCAGCAUUAAGUUGGGCACUCUAGUGAGACUGCCGGUGACAAACCGGAGGAAGGUGGGGACGACGUCAGAUCAUCAUGCCCCUUAUGACCUGGGCUACACACGUGCUACAAUGGACGGUACAACGAGUCGCAAGCUCGCGAGAGUAAGCUAAUCUCUUAAAGCCGUUCUCAGUUCGGACUGUAGGCUGCAACUCGCCUACACGAAGUCGGAAUCGCUAGUAAUCGCGGAUCAGCAUGCCGCGGUGAAUACGUUCCCGGGCCUUGUACACACCGCCCGUCACACCAUGGGAGUUUGUAACGCCCAAAGUCGGUGGCCUAACCUUUAUGGAGGGAGCCGCCUAAGGCGGGACAGAUGACUGGGGUGAAGUCGUAACAAGGUA
This 804-nucleotide ribosomal RNA is filed under the name Limosilactobacillus reuteri. RNAcentral describes it as "bacterial SSU rRNA". It matches the Rfam family "Bacterial small subunit ribosomal RNA", at positions 696 to 1498 of the family's 1533-position model. The record is from RNAcentral. Lineage: Bacteria; Bacillati; Bacillota; Bacilli; Lactobacillales; Lactobacillaceae.